Molecule: transfer RNA, 77 nt
Filed under: Felis catus (domestic cat)
Lineage: Eukaryota; Metazoa; Chordata; Mammalia; Carnivora; Felidae
Also listed under: 3 other names
Rfam family: tRNA
About the family: Transfer RNA (tRNA) molecules are approximately 80 nucleotides in length.
Source: Rfam by way of RNAcentral
GGCAGUGUGGUCUGGUAGUUAAGAAGGCAGACUUUGGAACCAGUCUGUCUGCCUGGGGUCAAAUCCUACCACUGCCA